UACGUAGGGUGCGAGCGUUGUCCGGAAUUAUUGGGCGUAAAGAGCUUGUAGGCGGUCUGUCGCGUCGGCUGUGAAAACCCGAGGCUCAACCUCGGGCCUGCAGUCGAUACGGGCAGACUAGAGUGCUGUAGGGGAGACUGGAAUUCCUGGUGUAGCGGUGAAAUGCGCAGAUAUCAGGAGGAACACCGAUGGCGAAGGCAGGUCUCUGGGCCACUACUGACGCUGAGAAGCGAAAGCAUGGGGAGCGAACAGG
RNAcentral lists this ribosomal RNA (253 nucleotides) under uncultured bacterium. RNAcentral's name for it is "partial 16S ribosomal RNA". It matches the Rfam family "Bacterial small subunit ribosomal RNA", at positions 524 to 776 of the family's 1533-position model. The record is from RNAcentral.